GUAGGGGGCAAGCGUUGUCCGGAUUUAUUGGGCGUAAAGAGCGUGUAGGCGGCCAGAUAGGUCCGUUGUGAAAACUCGAGGCUCAACCUCGAGACGCCGAUGGAAACCAUUUGGCUAGAGUCCGGAAGAGGAGAGUGGAAUUCCUGGUGUAGCGGUGAAAUGCGCAGAUAUCAGGAAGAACACCCGUGGCUAAGGCGGCUCUCUAGUACGGUACUGACGCUGAGACGCGAAAGCGUGGGGAGCGAACAGGAUUAGAUACCCUGGUAGUCCACGCCGUAAACGAUGGGUGCUAGGUGUGGGGGGUGUCGACUCCCUCCGUGCCGAAACUAACGCAUUAAGCACCCCGCCUGGGGAGUACGGCCGCCAGGCUAA
This 372-nucleotide ribosomal RNA is filed under the name uncultured bacterium. RNAcentral's name for it is "bacterial SSU rRNA". It matches the Rfam family "Bacterial small subunit ribosomal RNA", at positions 527 to 897 of the family's 1533-position model. The record is from RNAcentral.